Molecule: ribosomal RNA, 109 nt
Filed under: Acanthosepion pharaonis
Lineage: Eukaryota; Metazoa; Mollusca; Cephalopoda; Sepiida; Sepiidae
Source: RNAcentral
CUAAUAUCACGUUGAAACACCGGUUCCCGUACGAUUACUGAAGUUAAGCAACGUCGAGUCUGGUCAGUACCUAGAUGGGUGACCGCUUGGAAAUACCAGGUGCUGUAAG